GGAGGCAGCAGUAGGGAAUAUUCCACAAUGAGCGAAAGCUUGAUGGAGCGACACAGCGUGCACGAUGAAGGUCUUCGGAUUGUAAAGUGCUGUUAUAAGGGAAGAACAUUUGCAAUAGGAAAUGAUUGCAGACUGACGGUACCUUGUCAGAAAGCGAUGGCUAACUAUGUGCCAGCAGCCGCGGUAAUACAUAGGUCGCAAGCGUUAUCCGGAAUUAUUGGGCGUAAAGCGUUCGUAGGCUGUUUGUUAAGUCUGGAGUUAAAUCCCGGGGCUCAACCCCGGCUCGCUUUGGAUACUAGCAAACUAGAGUUAGAUAGAGGUAAGCGGAAUUCCAUGUGAAGCGGUGAAAUGCGUAGAUAUAUGGAAGAACACCAAAGGCGAAGGCAGCUUACUGGGUCUAUACUGACGCUGAGGGACGAAAGCGUGGGGAGCAAACAGGAUUAGAUACCCUGGUAGUCCACGCCGUAAACGAUGAUCAUUAGUCGGUGGAGAAUCACUGACGCAGCUAACGCAUUAAAUGAUCCGCCUGAGUAGUAUGCUCGCAAGAGUGAAACUUAAAGGAAUUGACGGGGACCCGCACAAGCGGUGGAGCAUGUGGUUUUAUUGAAGAUACACGGAAAACCUUACCCACUCUUGACAUCCUUCGCAAAGCUAUAGAG
RNAcentral lists this ribosomal RNA (659 nucleotides) under uncultured bacterium. Its description in RNAcentral is "bacterial SSU rRNA". It matches the Rfam family "Bacterial small subunit ribosomal RNA", at positions 344 to 1005 of the family's 1533-position model. The record is from RNAcentral.